UUCUUCUUCUUCCUCUCUCCGGCGUUUCUCCUGCGUCCUCCGCUCCUCUCCGCAGCAGCGAUGCUCCCGCCGGGCCUGGCCGGCCUCGGCGCUCUGUCUUCAGGCUGGCAGUAGAUCAGCAGGUCGGUGCAGGUCGCGUCACCGUCAUGGUGCAGAAAUCCCGGAACGGCGGGGUGUUCCCCGGAGCACAGGCCGACCAGAAGAAGCUGAAGGUCGGCUUUGUGGGUCUGGAGGCCGGAGGGACAGAAUCCAGCAGGGACGGAGCUCUGCUCAUAGCAGGUGGGGAGGAGGGUCCUCGACGGCAGCGCAGCAGCGUCUCUGGAGGGAAGAAACCUCCCAAACGAAACGCCCUCUACAGACGACUGCAGAACUUCCUGUACAAUGUUCUGGAGAGACCUCGAGGAUGGGCCUUCAUCUACCACGCCUACGUGUUCUUGCUGGUGUUCUCCUGUCUGGUUCUGUCUGUGUUCUCCACCAUCAGAGAGUACGAGAAGAGUUCAGAGGACGCUCUCUACAUUCUGGAAGUGGUGACCAUCGUGGUGUUCGGGGUGGAGUACAUGGUGAGGAUCUGGGCUGCAGGUUGUUGCUGCCGCUACAGAGGAUGGAGAGGACGACUCAAAUUCGCCAGGAAACCGUUCUGUGUCAUCGACAUCAUGGUGUUGAUUGCGUCCAUCUCAGUGUUGGCUGCGGGGACUCAGGGAAACGUGUUUGCCACAUCAGCCAUCAGGUCGCUUCGCUUCCUCCAGAUUCUGAGGAUGAUCAGGAUGGACCGUCGGGGAGGAACCUGGAAGCUGCUGGGAUCAGUCGUCUACGCCCACAGCAAGGAGCUGAUCACGGCGUGGUACAUCGGUUUCUUGUGUCUCAUUCUGGCCAGUUUCCUCGUUUACUUGGCAGAGAAAGAAGACAAUGAACAGUUUGAGACGUAUGCAGACGCCCUCUGGUGGGGACUGAUCACUUUGACAACCAUUGGUUAUGGAGACAAGUUCCCCAUCACCUGGAAUGGACGCCUUCUGGCAGCAACCUUCACUCUGAUUGGAGUUUCAUUCUUUGCUCUGCCUGCUGGGAUUCUGGGUUCUGGUUUCGCUCUGAAGGUUCAGGAGCAGCACCGACAGAAACACUUUGAGAAGAGAAGAAACCCAGCAGCUGGACUCAUUCAGGCGGCUUGGAGGGUUUACGCCACAAAUCUGAGCAGAACUGAUUUGACUUCAACCUGGGAUUAUUAUGAGAGGACGGUCUCCGUCCCCAUGUACAGGUUGAUUCCACCUCUCAAUCAGUUGGAUUUAUUGAGGAACCUCAAGAACAAAUCAGGACUCUCGUUCAGGAAGGACGUCCAGCCUGAACCGUCCCCCAGUCAGAAGGUCAGUCUGAAGGAGAGGGUCUUCUCGUCUCCCCGAAGCUCUGGAACCAAAGGGAAAGGUUCUCCUCAGCACGUGGUUCCAACAGUCGGCCCUGGUGUUGCUCCCGGUGUGGGUCCUGGAGUGCCUGCAGGUCCUGGAAACUUGGCGAGUGUUCAGGCUCUGCGACGGUCUCCGAGUAUGGAGCCCAGUCUGGAGGACAGUCCCAGCAAGGUGCCAAAGAGCUGGAGCUUUGGAGAACGUAGCAGAACCAGACAGGCCUUCAGGAUCAGAGGAGCUGCCUCCCGUCAAAACUCUGAGGUGCUGAUAGAGAUGCAAGACGAAGAGUUCAGACAGAAGAGCUCCCCAGAGGCCAGUCUGCCAGGAGAAGACAUGGUUGAUGACAACAAGAGCUGCCACUGUGAGUUUGUCCCUCAGGACCUGACUCCAGGACUAAAGGUCACCAUCAGGGCCAUCUGUAUCAUGCGUUUCAUGGUGUCUAAGAGGAAAUUUAAGGAGAGUCUUCGUCCCUAUGAUGUCAUGGAUGUGAUUGAACAGUAUUCAGCAGGACACCUAGACAUGCUCGCCCGUAUCAAGAACCUCCAGUCAAGGGUCGAUCAGAUAGUUGGCAGAGGAACACCAAUUGCAGACAAGGACCGUCCCAAAGCAGCCAAUGAGGAGCUUCCUGAGGACCCAAGCAUGAUGGGACGGUUGGGGAAGGUGGAAAAGCAGGUCCUGUCCAUGGAGAGAAAGCUGGACUUCCUGGUUAACAUCUACAUCCAGCGAAUGGGAAUCCCUCAAGCAGAAACUGAUGCCUACUUUGGAUCCAAGGAGCCAGAGCCAGAUCCAGCCCCGCCGUACCACAGUCCAGUGGAUCAGCUGGAGAAGAGCCAGUCCAUUUCCAAGAUCCUGCAGGUGUUACCUGGCGACCACAUUGAGAAAAGUCGUAUCAUGACGAAAAUGGUCCGCUCCAGCAGCUCCACUGGACACAGGAACUACAACGCCCCCACCUGUCCACCCUCCACUUCCUGGCAGCCAAUCAGCUCCCAGCUCCACCAGCAGGCCCAGCCCCCUCCCCAGCGUAGCCAUGGCAACACUCCAAGUCCAGUGGGGGAUGCGUCACUGGUUCGACUUCCACCUCCUCCGGCUGGAGAGAGACACAGUGGGAACCGAUCCAACCGGCACAGUACCGGGGACCGAGGAGGGGCGGAGAGACCAGAGAGGGGAAGAGAGGGGGCCAAUGGGACCACAGGAGGAGGAGGUGGGGAGGAGGGGAAGCCAGACAGCGACACCUCCAUCUCCAUCCCGUCCGUGGAUCACGAGGAGCUGGAGCGCUCCUUCAGCGGCUUUUCCAUCUCCCAGUCCAGAGAGAAUCUCGACUUCCUCAACAAUGGCUUCUAUUCAUCCUCUGCCAACCUGGGAGACCACCGAGGAGGAGGCGCCGCCGCCGCCGCCACCCACUGUGCUGCUGUGCGGCCCUACAUCGCAGAGGGGGAGUCGGAUUCUGACUCGGAACUCUGUGCCCCCUCGCCGCACUCGGAUCGUGCCUGGACUGGAACUAAGUAGAGUCACAGGUGCAAACUGGAACAUAACCAGCAGAACAGUUGACAUGAUCAAUAUCAAAAUGUGAAUUAAAACCAUGAAACUGUGUCAAAACCUUGAAACACCAGCUGGAGUUACAGAGUGAAGCAUCAUGGGGACCGUGAAUGAGCCAAAACACCGGCUGUCAUGGUGGUUUUAUUCAUUCUCCAUUUCCUGUCCAGAGCUCAAACACAGACGCAUCCUGAGCUGAACGUCUCUGCAGGUGAAUGUUAAACUCACUCAGCUGUGACGUCAUGUUGUAUCGAAGGUAACGGAGGGAAAGCGUCGCUCUCUGAGCUGUGGCUAUACGUACUGACGCUGAAAGAACGGUUUGAAGUUUUGAGGAGCGACCACAACUGAAUUAGCUCAUACAAAGAUUGUGAUGUUUUCACUUUGUUUUUCAGGCUGAUAAUUUUACAAAGAAAUCGCUGUCAUAAAUCCCAAAAGAUUCCAAAAAAUGUGAGUCUACACUCGCUUUAUAUUCUUCAGCUCAAAACAUAACUAAUUAAUUUGAUUGUUCACUGAAACAUUUUCAAUGUUCACGUUGCCGACCUGAGUCUCUCGACUGACUGCAUCACGUUUAAAUUUCUGUGAAGCUGAAAUCAAAAAUUUCACAAACAAUUUCUUAGGCUGUUUUCACAGAAGGUAUACACUUCUAUUGCAAAAUGGAAUCUUAGGUGGUUAAAUAGAGGCCAAAAAGUCAGAAUCUUGUCUUUGGGCUCAUAGUGUUCAUGCUAACCAGCUACUGCAAAAGGUUGGUUAAAAUUACUGUGCAUGUGGAACUGUGGAUUUUAAUGAAGCAACCUGUAAUCUCUCAAAAUUAUUUAGCUAGCUCAGCUUUUGGCUUUGGAAGUUACUAUUCGCAAGAUAGUUAGCCUGCCUCGCUAAUGUUAGCAGCUUAGACUAACGCAGAUAAAUGAAUCCCUGCCUUAUUCUGCUGCUGUUGUGUUUUUGGAAAGUUGAUAGAAUCCAAAAAUCCAUCGAUACAGUUGCUAGACUGUGAUUAGGUUAUCGGUUAAGACUCGUGUGGUGAAAUGAAUCAGAAACUACACUACAGUGAACAUGAACGCUGCAUUUUUACAUUAUGAUCACGACCUCACAGACACAUUAGCAUGUAUAUAUGAUGUAAGCAUCCCCACUAAUGAUAAUUAUAAAUCCCAAAUGCUGAUUACAUCUGUAUUAUUUAAAUGACAUGAUACUGAGGAGUCUUUGUCGACAGAGAAAAGCGGAUCCAUCCAGCAGGGGGCACCCAGGAGGAUCAGCGUCACCUCAGGAAACCAAAGUAAGACAAACUUACCAAAAUAAGACUUUUUUUAUUAGCUGAGCUCUUUAACAUCCCUGAGCAGCAGAGGAGUUUUGGACUGAGGGGGGCCCAGGGGCACUGAGAUCCAGCCUGGACCCCACAAACCGCACAUACAAGGUUUAAAGGUGACGGUUUGUUCAUAGCUUUCAUCAUCAGAUUGUAUGUACGUCUUACCAGCUGAUCAGUCAGCUCUCCUGUGAUUGGCUGAUGAUCUGCUGAACCACAUUAACGUGUUCGUUUGAAUGUAAACACACUUGUUGUUUCCAUUCAGUCUAUCAGUUUCCUGACAGAAGGAAACCGUCUUUUUCUGUUUGUAAUGUUUAUAGACGUGUGUGAAUAACGUCAGCUGUCUGACUAAACAACCAUUUAAAUAUGUGCUGGAUUCAUGUUUUAACAUAAUGUAAAACUUAAUUUAAACAACCUGAUUAUAUUUUGCCAAAUGUAAACGCAUGUUGUUUCACAGACUCAGUCCUGAUAAAUCAAGCUGUAUUUAUGGAAGGGAGAACAAUCGGUACGACUAACUCUUUAAUCUUGUUCCUGCAGCUCAGACUAACAUGCAAACUGUAAACUCUUUGUACAGAAUGUUGCCUGUUUGAUUGUAUUUAAAUAUUAAAAACUUCUGAUCAUCU
Molecule: RNA transcript, 4847 nt
Organism: Scatophagus argus
Lineage: Eukaryota; Metazoa; Chordata; Actinopteri; Scatophagidae
Gene: kcnq2b
Gene name: potassium voltage-gated channel subfamily KQT member 2
Exons: 20
Source: RefSeq, a predicted model, not a curated record